GUUUAAAUACUGUUUAUAAUUAAUUCUAAUGAGUAUCCACUGGGACUCUGUGUAACAUGAGCGCCCUCUGCUGGUGCCCCUGCAGACUUGAGCGGUGCAGCCCGUGUAUCUUUGCCAAUCUGCACUGUCAUGCUGUCCCCGUGGUGAAACAGCGUGCUGGUGCCAAAAGUUAAAAGUGUUUGCCUGAUUCAUCACACAACACAAGAGAGAGUACACAACCGCUACAUAAGAAAAAAUAUAUAACAUGGGUUUAGUACAUUUUUAAUUGAUUUAUACAUUUUAAUGUAAACAUUGUCAUAACAUUCUACAUAUUGUACAUUUAAUAGAGUGAAGUCAUUGUUGAUGUUUUAUUCACAUCUGUGGUUUGCCUGCUUUGACAGAUGAAAGCCUCGACACAGGCCAUUCAGCUCCCAGUACUAGGCUGCCACGUAAAAGGAAAGAUGAAAGCCUUGACACAGGCCAUUCAGCUCCCAGGUUGCCACGGAAAAGAAAAGAAUGUCCCCACACAGUUACGGGAAGCCAGGAUUUUUACCCAGUGAAGAGGGUUGCGAAAUACAAAGUUAUUAAGGGCCACAAAAUGAAGCAAGUGGAGUGGCAGCCUGCACACUCUGUGGAAAGAAGUGGCCAUUGGAGUGGGUGGCGGAUGAAGACACGUGCUGAUUCUUCAGUUUUAUUAAGUGCCCAAGAUCCUGGAGCUGUCACUGUUUACAAAAAGUUUUAUUUUGGAAGAUGUUUCUGAAAAUAGCACUUAAGUACUUUGUUUACACUCUUGCCAUUGACGCCAUUCAUCUCUCUUUUUUUUUUUUUUACAACCUUAACUCUGUCACAACUGUUAUUGUAAGUUAUUAUUGUGUAGAGAUAGAGGGCACAAUCACGUCAAAUGCUAAAACAUGAGGUCUGAAUGC
Molecule: non-coding RNA, 905 nt
Organism: Labrus bergylta (ballan wrasse)
Lineage: Eukaryota; Metazoa; Chordata; Actinopteri; Labriformes; Labridae
Source: RefSeq, a predicted model, not a curated record